RNAcentral lists this ribosomal RNA (545 nucleotides) under Salmonella enterica. RNAcentral describes it as "partial 23S ribosomal RNA". It matches the Rfam family "Bacterial large subunit ribosomal RNA", at positions 1213 to 1757 of the family's 2925-position model. The record is from RNAcentral. RNAcentral also lists the same sequence under 1 other name. Lineage: Bacteria; Pseudomonadati; Pseudomonadota; Gammaproteobacteria; Enterobacterales; Enterobacteriaceae.
CUGAUGCGUUGUUGGGUAGGGGAGCGUUCUGUAAGCCUGUGAAGGUGUGUCGUGAGGCAUGCUGGAGGUAUCAGAAGUGCGAAUGCUGACAUAAGUAACGAUAAAGCGGGUGAAAAGCCCGCUCGCCGGAAGACCAAGGGUUCCUGUCCAACGUUAAUCGGGGCAGGGUGAGUCGACCCCUAAGGCGAGGCCGAAAGGCGUAGUCGAUGGGAAACGGGUUAAUAUUCCCGUACUUGGUGUUACUGCGAAGGGGGGACGGAGAAGGCUAUGUUGGCCGGGCGACGGUUGUCCCGGUUUAAGCGUGUAGGUGUGUGUUCCAGGUAAAUCCGGUUCACUUUAACACUGAGGCGUGAUGACGAGGCACUACGGUGCUGAAGCAACAAAUGCCCUGCUUCCAGGAAAAGCCUCUAAGCAUCAGGUAACAUCAAAUCGUACCCCAAACCGACACAGGUGGUCAGGUAGAGAAUACCAAGGCGCUUGAGAGAACUCGGGUGAAGGAACUAGGCAAAAUGGUGCCGUAACUUCGGGAGAAGGCACGCUGACAC